AGACACCUGGUUGCAGAAGGCGACGUAAUGGGCGGGGCGGGGCGUCUAUGGUGUAUGGGAGCUUUGGAUCCCCUGCAGUUUUUACAGAGCACUGAUAUCUAUGGACUCUAACAUGGACUUCAUUUAAAGAAACCCACGGACCAUUAAUGGACAAAAACAUGAAUCAAUUUGUAUUGUGGCAUUCAAAUCCUAGCACUUUGGGAGAGCAUCAGGUACCAAGUUUUUGAAGACUAUGACCCACCAUACCAUCAUUAUGCAUUCAAGAGUUGAGUAUGAAUAACYACAUCAAGAUUUAGAUCCUCUUCAAAAGCUUCAAGUGUCAUCUGCAUUAAAGCUCUCCAUUGAACUCUCUCACAAAAAUAAAAGCUGAAAGGGACCCAACUCCAUUAAUAUACUUUAAAAAAUAUCCCUUCCUCUGACUUCAGUUUCCUUGACCAUUAGGGUCUUUCAUAUUGCUUAUGUUCCUUUAGACAAGAGCCAACAAAAUGGUGUAUUCCAAAAAAUAUGUUCUAUGGCCAUAAGUUUUUCUUGGUAGAACAGAAUAAACUUGGCAUAAUAAGUUUGGAAUUAGGUCUUUUAUUGUAGCCUACAAAAAGUUGGAU
This is a long non-coding RNA of Urocitellus parryii (Arctic ground squirrel), 602 nucleotides long. RefSeq lists it as uncharacterized. The record is from RefSeq and is a predicted model, not a curated record. NCBI's taxonomy places the organism in Eukaryota, Metazoa, Chordata, Mammalia, Rodentia, Sciuridae.